This 510-nucleotide unclassified non-coding RNA is filed under the name Hevea brasiliensis (rubber tree). The record is from RNAcentral. Lineage: Eukaryota; Viridiplantae; Streptophyta; Magnoliopsida; Malpighiales; Euphorbiaceae.
GUAAUCAUAUGCAUCGAAACUGACGAUGAUCAGAACACCACAUCACUGACCACGUCACGUCAAAAUUAAUGUAUGACAGAAAAGCUUGCAACAAUAUCUACAAACACCUCACUUUUAACAUUUCAGCGUUAAAGCCAUAUAAUAUAAGCCUUCAUUAAAUAAACCUCAACAAGCAUGCAGACAUUACAAAUAAAAAUGUUCUUUUACAAGAGAUGGGCUGUCAUUUAUGCUCAACAACCAGAAUAUCAAGGGGGGAAAGGGGGAUUAAAAAAGAAAAAGAAAAACUGCAUUGACAUUUUUUCUGAAAUAGACAGAAAUAAACAUUAAAAGGAAGCUUAUGCAUGAGCAAAUCAAUAUUAUAGUUUGCAAUAUCAAAAACUAAAAAUAUCAAGUAAAACUAGCUUAUUCAUGCAAAUAAAAUAAAUUAACAGAAAGAUAUGCUUGAAAAUUUGUUCAAGUUUGUGACGCCAUAUCAAUGAACUCAUAUAUAAAGAGUAAUUGCAUGUACCU